CCCCGAAGAGGGGGAUAACCACUGGAAACGGUGGCUAAUACCCCAUGUGGUCUCGCAUUCGGUUGCGCGAUUAAAUGCUCCGGCGCUUCGGGAUGGGCCUGCGGCUUAUCAGCUAGUUGGUAGGGUAAUGGCCUACCAAGGCUAUGACGGGUAGCUGGUCUGAGAGGACGGUCAGCCACACUGGCACUGAGACACGGGCCAGACUCCUACGGGAGGCAGCAGUGAGGGAUAUUGCGCAAUGGGGGAAACCCUGACGCAGCAACGCCGCGUGGGCGAAGAAGGUCUUCGGAUCGUAAAGCCCUUUUCUCCCGGACGAGGAAGGACGGUACGGGAGGAAUAAGUGUCGGCUAACUACGUGCCAGCAGCCGCGGUAAAACGUAGGACGCAAGCGUUAUCCGGAAUUAUUGGGCGUAAAGGGCGUCUAGGCUGCGUCUUAAGUUGGGCGUGAAAUCUUCUGGCUUAACCGGAAGGGUGCGUUCAAUACUGGGACGCUUGAGGGCAGCAGAGGGAGGUGGAAUUCCCGGUGUAGCGGUGGAAUGCGUAGAUAUCGGGAGGAACACCAGUGGCGAAGGCGGCCUCCUGGGCUGUACCUGACGCUGAAGCGCGAAAGCGUGGGGAGCGAACGGGAUUAGAUACCCCGGUAGUCCACGCCGUAAACGAUGGAUACUAGGUGUUGGUGGUAUUGACCCCAUCGGUGCCGCAGCUAACGCAUUAAGU
Molecule: ribosomal RNA, 717 nt
Filed under: uncultured bacterium
Lineage: Bacteria
Description: bacterial SSU rRNA
Rfam family: Bacterial small subunit ribosomal RNA
Source: RNAcentral